GUGCUUGCUUUGUCAGCACAUAUAUUAAAAUUGAAACUAUACAAAGAAGAGUAGCAUGGACCCUGCACAAGGAUGACACCCAAAUUCAUGAAGCAUUCCAAAAUAAA
This 107-nucleotide small nuclear RNA is filed under the name Castor canadensis (American beaver). Lineage: Eukaryota; Metazoa; Chordata; Mammalia; Rodentia; Castoridae. The record is from RNAcentral.